AGUUCCAGGGGAUCUGACGCCCUCUUCUGGCCUCUUGAGGCACUGCAUGCACAUGGUGGGUAGAAGAAUGAUGUCCCUCCCCCUGGGUGUAUCCUGGGGUGACCCCAAGCUCCCCUGACCUUUGCUCUCCCACUUCACCUUCAGGAACUCACCAGGGCCUGGCUGACCUUCCAAAUGCCUGUGGCACGGCUCUUGGAGAGAUCUCUACACAAUGACGGCCUUUGCUCAGGUCUCCAAAGUCACUGGCCCCCUCUGCCCACACCCUGGGCUCCACUGAGCCCUCACCUUGGUGAGAAGCCAGGGCCCACCAGCCCAGCACUGCCUUAUCUCAGGAACACUUUGCUGAGCUCAGAGCAUCGGGGGCUUUGUGAAGGACCUGUGCCCAGCCUGGCAGUCCCUUUCGCUUUCUGUAAAGGCUCUGUCUAAGGUCAGCCAGUCUCUCCACAGGUGGAGGCAGGGAAGGGAGUGUUCUCUUCGACCUCUCUAGAAUCUUGGCUUGGACUGCUUGGCUCGGCCAGUCCUGAACCCACCUGUUCUCAGUCAUCAGCUCGAAGUGGCCACCAGCCUCCUGGGUAUUCAACCCUCUAGACCCUGAGGACGUGAAUGCAAUAUAGUGUCUCUGGCAAGGCACAGAGCGGAUGAGCGCCUCCUAGCCCUACGCAGUCUCAACAAAACAAAUACAAAUGGUUUAAUGGUCAAUUAAACAAAAGAACAGCU
Long non-coding RNA from Arvicola amphibius (Eurasian water vole), 717 nucleotides. RefSeq lists it as uncharacterized. Lineage: Eukaryota; Metazoa; Chordata; Mammalia; Rodentia; Cricetidae. The record is from RefSeq and is a predicted model, not a curated record. The transcript has 2 exons.